UACGUAGGGUGCAAGCGUUGUCCGGAAUUAUUGGGCGUAAAGGGCGCGUAGGCGGCGAUUCAAGUGACGGGUGAAAUCCCUCGGCUUAACCGAGGAACUGCCUGUCAGACUGGAUUGCUUGAGUCCGGGAGAGGCGAGUGGAAUUCCCAGUGUAGCGGUGAAAUGCGUAGAUAUUGGGAGGAACACCAGUGGCGAAGGCGGCUCGCUGGACCGGAACUGACGCUGAGGCGCGAAAGCGUGGGGAGCAAACAGG
RNAcentral lists this ribosomal RNA (253 nucleotides) under uncultured bacterium. RNAcentral's name for it is "partial 16S ribosomal RNA". It matches the Rfam family "Bacterial small subunit ribosomal RNA", at positions 524 to 776 of the family's 1533-position model. The record is from RNAcentral.